Molecule: ribosomal RNA, 1372 nt
Filed under: uncultured bacterium
Lineage: Bacteria
Description: bacterial SSU rRNA
Rfam family: Bacterial small subunit ribosomal RNA
Source: RNAcentral
GAUGAACGCUGGCGGCGUGCCUAAUACAUGCAAGUCGAGCGAACGGACGAGAAGCUUGCUUCUCUGAUGUUAGCGGCGGACGGGUGAGUAACACGUGGAUAACCUACCUAUAAGACUGGGAUAACCUCGGGAAACCGGAGCUAAUACCGGAUAAUAUUUUGAACCGCAUGGUUCAAAAGUGAAAGACGGUCUUGCUGUCACUUAUAGAUGGAUCCGCGCUGCAUUAGCUAGUUGGUAAGGUAACGGCUUACCAAGGCAACGAUGCAUAGCCGACCUGAGAGGGUGAUCGGCCACACUGGAACUGAGACACGGUCCAGACUCCUACGGGAGGCAGCAGUAGGGAAUCUUCCGCAAUGGGCGAAAGCCUGACGGAGCAACGCCGCGUGAGUGAUGAAGGUCUUCGGAUCGUAAAACUCUGUUAUUAGGGAAGAACAUAUGUGUAAGUAACUGUGCACAUCUUGACGGUACCUAAUCAGAAAGCCACGGCUAACUACGUGCCAGCAGCCGCGGUAAUACGUAGGUGGCAAGCGUUAUCCGGAAUUAUUGGGCGUAAAGCGCGCGUAGGCGGUUUUUUAAGUCUGAUGUGAAAGCCCACGGCUCAACCGUGGAGGGUCAUUGGAAACUGGAAAACUUGAGUGCAGAAGAGGAAAGUGGAAUUCCAUGUGUAGCGGUGAAAUGCACAGAGAUAUGGAGGAACACCAGUGGCGAAGGCGACUUUCUGGUCUGUAACUGACGCUGAUGUGCGAAAGCGUGGGGAUCAAACAGGAUUAGAUACCCUGGUAGUCCACGCCGUAAACGAUGAGUGCUAAGUGUUAGGGGGUUUCCGCCCCUUAGUGCUGCAGCUAACGCAUUAAGCACUCCGCCUGGGGAGUACGACCGCAAGGUUGAAACUCAAAGGAAUUGACGGGGACCCGCACAAGCGGUGGAGCAUGUGGUUUAAUUCGAAGCAACGCGAAGAACCUUACCAAAUCUUGACAUCCUUUGACAACUCUAGAGAUAGAGCCUUCCCCUUCGGGGGACAAAGUGACAGGUGGUGCAUGGUUGUCGUCAGCUCGUGUCGUGAGAUGUUGGGUUAAGUCCCGCAACGAGCGCAACCCUUAAGCUUAGUUGCCAUCAUUAAGUUGGGCACUCUAAGUUGACUGCCGGUGACAAACCGGAGGAAGGUGGGGAUGACGUCAAAUCAUCAUGCCCCUUAUGAUUUGGGCUACACACGUGCUACAAUGGACAAUACAAAGGGCAGCGAAACCGCGAGGUCAAGCAAAUCCCAUAAAGUUGUUCUCAGUUCGGAUUGUAGUCUGCAACUCGACUACAUGAAGCUGGAAUCGCUAGUAAUCGUAGAUCAGCAUGCUACGGUGAAUACGUUCCCGGGUCU